GUCUACAGCCAUGCCCCCCUGAACGUGCCCAAUCUCAUCUGAUCUCAGAAGCUAAGCAGAGUUGGGCCUGGUUAGUAUUUGGUUGAGAGACCACCUAGGCAUACCAGGUGCUGUAGGCA
Molecule: ribosomal RNA, 119 nt
Filed under: Pteropus alecto (black flying fox)
Lineage: Eukaryota; Metazoa; Chordata; Mammalia; Chiroptera; Pteropodidae
Source: RNAcentral